CGACCGGCGCACGGGUGCGUAACGCGUAUGCAACCUACCUCUUACUGGGGAAUAGCCCAUAGAAAUGUGGAUUAAUGCCCCAUAGUAUUAUUUAAUCGCAUGAUUUGAAUAAUUAAAGGUUACGGUAAGAGAUGGGCAUGCGUCCUAUUAGCUAGAUGGUAAGGUAACGGCUUACCAUGGCAACGAUAGGUAGGGGGCCUGAGAGGGUGAUCCCCCACACUGGUACUGAGACACGGACCAG
This 241-nucleotide ribosomal RNA is filed under the name uncultured bacterium. RNAcentral describes it as "partial 16S ribosomal RNA". It matches the Rfam family "Bacterial small subunit ribosomal RNA", at positions 92 to 334 of the family's 1533-position model. The record is from RNAcentral.